UAUGUAAGCACAGCAUUUUGCUGCUGGCAAGCCAGGUAAAAACAUCACCUGGCUGUGAGGCUUCAGGAAACACCCUGGAGCUGACUGAAUUGGUCCUCAUUCAGAGUUAACUCACUCCAACUGCUGAUCAACACAUGCCUCACAUCAGCUCAGUCGGGUACAGAGACUGAGCAACUACUAUCCACCAGAAAGCUUGAAAUAUGAUCUAGUCAAGGAGCAGACAUGAGAUGGCUGACCAGCUGCAUACCAAAAAGAAUUGAUUCAUUUUCAAUCAUCCAUACUUUGAAAAUGUUUCCUCAAACUAUUCUAGGAAUACUUUGGAAUGACAAACCCUUUUAAAGAUCAAUUUGUAAAUACUUGCUAAUUGAAAAAGGGGAUACACUUAUGGAUGCUGUGCUUAAUGAAGUUUUGUUCAGUUCUACUGAUGCUUGAAAGAAAAGGUAAUUCAUUUUAGGUUUGUUUUAAAUAAAGUUUAUAUAUUCAGGACCUCAAAUAAGUUUCACUGAGGUCAGU
Long non-coding RNA from Alligator mississippiensis (American alligator), 513 nucleotides. RefSeq lists it as uncharacterized. The transcript is spliced from 3 exons. The record is from RefSeq and is a predicted model, not a curated record. NCBI's taxonomy places the organism in Eukaryota, Metazoa, Chordata, Crocodylia, Alligatoridae.